Molecule: ribosomal RNA, 413 nt
Filed under: uncultured bacterium
Lineage: Bacteria
Description: bacterial SSU rRNA
Rfam family: Bacterial small subunit ribosomal RNA
Source: RNAcentral
GUGUCAGCCGCCGCGGUAAUACGUAGGUGGCAAGCGUUGUCCGGAAUUAUUGGGCGUAAAGCGCGCGCAGGCGGUUUCUUAAGUCUGAUGUGAAAGCCCGCGGCUCAACCGCAGACGGUCAUUGGAAACUGGGGAGCUUGAGGGCAGAAGAGGAGAGUGGAAUUCCACGUGUAGCGGUGAAAUGCGUAGAGAUGUGGAGGAACACCGGUGGCGAAGGCGGCUUUCUGGUCUGCAGCUGACGCUGAGGCGCGAAAGCGUGGGGAGCAAACAGGAUUAGAUUCCCUGGUAGUCCACGCCGUAAACGAUGAGUGCUAAGUGUUAGGGGGGUCCAGCCCCUUAGUGCUGAAGUCAACGCAUUAAGCACUCCGCCUGGGGAGUACGACCGCAAGGUUGAAACUUAAAGGAAUUGGCGG